RNAcentral lists this small RNA (107 nucleotides) under Marmota monax (woodchuck). Lineage: Eukaryota; Metazoa; Chordata; Mammalia; Rodentia; Sciuridae. The record is from RNAcentral.
GCCAGGCGCGGUAGUGCAUGGCUGUAAUCCCAAAGACUCGGGAGGCUGAGGCAGGAGGAUCACAAGUUGGAGGCCAGCCUGGGCCGCUCAGUGAGACCCUGUCUCAA